RNAcentral lists this long non-coding RNA (4643 nucleotides) under Medicago truncatula (barrel medic). RNAcentral describes it as "long non-coding RNA (MTRU_LNC005335)". Lineage: Eukaryota; Viridiplantae; Streptophyta; Magnoliopsida; Fabales; Fabaceae. The record is from RNAcentral.
AUAUAUGUAUAUAUUUCAUAAUCAACAAUAUCAUCAAUAAUAGAUAUCUAACUCAUCAAUUAAAUAUAUCACCCUGUCAUAAUAAUAAUUCAUCAAUAUAUAAGUAUAUCAUCAUUAACAACAUCAACCAAAUGAUAAUUAAAACCAACAACGACGAUUCAUGCAACAACUCGACACCACCGCUAAGACUCAUGCAAGACAUGACAACUCCACUAAGACUCCUCAACAAAUGCAACUAUGCAUGUGGUACCAAAACCAGGGCCGUGACCCAUACCACUGUCGAAUGGUUAAAGCAUUCUCAUCAGGACAUAAGUCCUCACCACUAACACCACUUUGAGCAACUAGUGCUCCACCACUUUGAACGACAAGGCGUUCCAGAGCCGAAGCUCUCCCACUGUUAUGCUCAUGCAACUGACCCACUUGAGUAUAUCUACAUACAAUCCCACCUAAGCAUAUAUGUAUAUAUGACUCACCACUCCAAUUUACAACAUUCAUGUAAAACUUAAUUAAAUAAAAGCAUACAUCCAGCCAGCAUCCAUUCAUCAAUCACAACCAAAUUAGAACAUCCAGAGAAAUACACCAACAUACAAGCCAUGCUUAAUCAACAAGAUAAAUCAACCAUCAACAACAGAAGUCAAACCAACAAAAUUCUGGGCAGCUCGCCUCGCGAGCACAUCUGCUCGCUAUGGCGAGCUCAGGAAAUAAGGUACUCGCCAUGGCGAGUUCGAGGCGAACAGAAAUAUGGUGCUCUCGGGAAAAAUGAUAUUUUUCUCACUCAAACCUCAAUUCUAAGCUCCCUAAUCAUCUUUUAAACCUAAAACUUGCCCAGUCCUCUUAGAAAUCAUCUAGGUACAUGAAACUACCCAAAAUAUGGCUUAUAACAACAUUUUUAAAAAUCCAAAUUUUCACAAGGCUACUCGCCAUGGCGAGUUGUAUCCCUCGCGAGGCGAGCCAUGAAGUUGUUCACUCGCUAUGGCGAGUAAUGGCUACUCGCGAGGCGAGCGAUGAACUCCUGUACGGGCAGAAUGCAGGUUUUUCCCAAAAAUCCCAUUUUUCCUCAAUUCACUCCCCAAAUUAGUUUACAGAUAUGCAAUGAAAGGUUUUAUGCACUCAGAACCCAUUUCUAACUCCAAUUCAACAAUUCCUACACUCAAAACCCAUUAAUUAACAAAACCUAACUUUAAUCAAAUAUUAACCAACAUUUCCCACAACAUUAACCAACAGAUGCAUCUUAAUCAAUAAUAAACAGCAACAUGGCAGUACACAAACAAUCUCAAGAUAUAACAACAUCAAAUGGUAAUUAACAUCUUAAAACAUCAUAUAUAUACAUAUAACCCUUCAUCAAUCAUUGACAAUAUCGUAUUCACAAAUAUAUACAUACAUAUAUUAAUUCAUCAAUCAUAAACAAUUCUUCACUGUGAUCUACGUGCAGUAAUUUGACCAUAGCUCAAGUUCUAUAAAUUCUUUUGAAGUCAAACCAACGGCAUUAGAAAGCUAACAUCCAUACCUACAACUUUCGUGCUUACACCUAAGACCAAUUCUGUAUCAAUCAAUACCAGUUUUCAUUUCAAAUUCUGACAAAGUUGUGCUGAAAUUCAUAAAAAUUCACUAAGACCUCCGUGGAGUAUUUUCAUCAUAUCUCAUAAACCAAAAAUCAUUUUCGAGUCAAAUUAGAGCCAUUGGAAAGCUAACAAAAUUAUCUACAACUUUCAUGUUUACACCAAAGACCAAUUCAAAACAGAAACAUGUGAAAAAGACGCAAGAACGCGAAACAGGUGAUGCUGUCUCUGUGUAGCUCGCGAGGCGAGUAAGUUUACUCGCUGUGGCGAGUUGCGACGAACAACCCUACGGGAACAGACCAGUUUUCAGCCAAAAACCCAAUUUUUCAUCCACCCAAACCCCAAAUUUGAUAGGAAACUCAACAUAUGUUUAUUCUACAAUCUGAACAUCGAUUCCUAACACAAUUGUCAUGAUUUCUACACUUUUCAAUCCAAGAAUCAUACUCCAAAAAACCUAACCCCCAAUUCCCAAUUUCAGCUAGAACUAUGCUAAAUCAAAAUCAGAAUUAUAUAACCAUUAUCAUUGAGAGAUAGUCUCACCCUUACCUGAAUUCAAUUGCACAAACAAAGCUACAGCAAAAUCGAUCCCCUCUUGCUCUUGUUCUCCCCUUGGCUUGGUUUUCUCUCCCAAAACUUGUUUCACGUAAAACUGCUUCUAACCUUCUCUUUUCCUAACUCCCAAAAUAUAACUUCUCCUUUAUUUCAUUAAACUCCCCUUAAUUCUAUUAAUUCCUAAUUAACUCCCCAACCUCCAAAAUAACAUUAAUUCUCACAUUAUUCUAAUUAAUAUUAAAAUAAACUAUAUAAUAAAAUAAUACACACCACAUAAUCAACCAAUAUUAUUUAAAAUCACAUAAAUUAUAUAAAUAUAUCCUAACUCAAUAAAAAUAAUUAAAUAAUCAAAUAAUUCAAGGAGGGUGUUACAACUCUACCCCCCUUAAAAGAAUUUCGUCCUCGAAAUUCAAAGCAAAAGAAAAUGAAUUCAGUUAUUGCAUAAAUACCCUUAAACUAUAUAUAGCCAGAUAGAACCUUCAAUCAAAACAUACAAACCACAUUAAGUUAAUCAAUCAAACAUAAUCACUUAAUAAACAUAACCAUUUAUCAGGAAACACAACAAACAACAAUCACAACAAAACAUACAACAUUAAGUUGACACUCUAACCUAUGUGGCUCAACACGACUCUACUAUUUGGCCGGACGGACCAACCUGCUCUGAUACCAAUUGUAACAUCCCGUUUUCCCGACUUAAAAAUUUCAUUUAAUUAAUCAGAGUAUUCAACAUGUAAACGGAAUGCUAUACUUCAUAAAAUCAUAAUUAAGUUAAUUAACUAAUUUUAUCCUUCAACAUAUUAAUUCAAACUUUGCAGCGGAUUAAAUUCAUUAACAUAAAAAGUCUUGGCACGAAGGCCUCAUCAAAACAUCUCAUAAAAAUCCAAUUAACAACUUAAUCAUGUAAAUUUAUAAACAAUACGUAAGGAAUAGAAAAGCAUGCAACAAAGUUCCCAUCCCGUUACGUAUCAGAGCACCUAAACGACUCAGUGAGGGAUAGCCCCUCACGACGGCAAAAACACAGCAACCUACUCUUGAUCACCUGCAAGUUACUCAUACGAAGAGCAACAUUUUCAAGCAGAAGGGGUGAGAUUCACAAUCAAUAAUAAUAAUAUAUAAUUCAUCAAAUGCAUCUAACAACUUAAACUUCAUCAAUUAGUAAUAGUAAUUCUUUUAACGACUCCUAAACCAUAUCAUAUACUCAUCAUAUCAACAGUCAUAACUCGAUAUCAUAAACAACAUCAUAACAGCAUCAUUUAACUUCAUAAUUAACAUCUUAAUCAUAAUCAUAUAACAUCAUACUCAUAAUUCGUAUACAACAUGACAACUUCAUAAUCAAUGACCUAAACAACGUAACAACAUCAUAUUCAUAGUUCAUAUACAACAUAACAACAUCAUUAAUUCAUGUUAACAUUCUCCACCUAGCACCUUAUUAACAACUCAUAGAUAACAUCACAUAAUCAUCAUCACAACAUUCAUAAUCAUCAUCAUGUAACAUCAUAACAAUCUCAUAUUCAAUACCAUAAAUAGUCAUCAUAACAUCGUAAUCAAUAUUAUAAACAUCUUCUCAUAAUAAUAUAAACGACACGACAUAAUCAUCACAUCAUGAUAAUAUAAACAACUACAUAUAUUUAACAAUAAUGUUCUUACUUCUUUAACUUUAGUAACACUUACUAAUUCAACCAACGACGACGAUAACUACAAUUAUCCAAUAUAUGUAUAUAUUUCAUAAUCAACAAUAUCAUCAAUAAUAGAUAUCUAACUCAUCAAUUAAAUAUAUCACCCUGUCAUAAUAAUAAUUCAUCAAUAUAUAAGUAUAUCAUCAUUAACAACAUCAACCAAAUGAUAAUUAAAACCAACAACGACGAUUCAUGCAACAACUCGACACCACCGCUAAGACUCAUGCAAGACAUGACAACUCCACUAAGACUCCUCAACAAAUGCAACUAUGCAUGUGGUACCAAAACCAGGGCCGUGACCCAUACCACUGUCGAAUGGUUAAAGCAUUCUCAUCAGGACAUAAGUCCUCACCACUAACACCACUUUGAGCAACUAGUGCUCCACCACUUUGAACGACAAGGCGUUCCAGAGCCGAAGCUCUCCCACUGUUAUGCUCAUGCAACUGACCCACUUGAGUAUAUCUACAUACAAUCCCACCUAAGCAUAUAUGUAUAUAUGACUCACCACUCCAAUUUACAACAUUCAUGUAAAACUUAAUUAAAUAAAAGCAUACAUCCAGCCAGCAUCCAUUCAUCAAUCACAACCAAAUUAGAACAUCCAGAGAAAUACACCAACAUACAAGCCAUGCUUAAUCAACAAGAUAAAUCAACCAUCAACAACAGAAGUCAAACCAACAAAAUUCUGGGCAGCUCGCCUCGCGAGCACAUCUGCUCGCUAUGGCGAGCUCAGGAAAUAAGGUACUCGCCAUGGCGAGUUCGAGGCGAACAGAAAUAUGGUGCUCUCGGGAAAAAUGAUAUUUUUCUCACUCAAACCUCAAUUCUAAGCUCCCUAAUCAUCUUUUAAACCUAAAACUUG